UACGUAGGGUGCAAGCGUUAAUCGGAAUUACUGGGCGUAAAGCGUGCGCAGGCGGUUGUGCAAGACCGAUGUGAAAUCCCCGGGCUUAACCUGGGAAUGGCAUUUGGGACUGCAAGGCUGGAGUGUGGCAGAGGAGACUGGAAUUCCUGGUGUAGCAGUGAAAUGCGUAGAUAUCAGGAGGAAUACCGAUGGCGAAGGCAGGUCUCUGGGCUGACACUGACGCUCAUGCACGAAAGCGUGGGGAGCAAACAGG
This 253-nucleotide ribosomal RNA is filed under the name uncultured bacterium. RNAcentral's name for it is "partial 16S ribosomal RNA". It matches the Rfam family "Bacterial small subunit ribosomal RNA", at positions 524 to 776 of the family's 1533-position model. The record is from RNAcentral.